GACGAACGCUGGCGGCGUGCCUAAUACAUGCAAGUCGAACGAGAGCGCCCGGUGCUUGCACUGGUCAAUCUAGUGGCGAACGGGUGAGUAACACGUGGGUAACCUGCUCAUCAGAGGGGGAUAACAUCCGGAAACGGAUGCUAAAACCGCAUAGGUCUUCGAGCCGCAUGGCUUGAAGAGGAAAAGAGGCGCAAGCUUCUGCUGAUGGAUGGACCCGCGGUGCAUUAGCUAGUUGGUGAGGUAACGGCUCACCAAGGCCGUGAUGCAUAGCCGACCUGAGAGGGUGAUCGGCCACAUUGGGACUGAGACACGGCCCAAACUCCUACGGGAGGCAGCAGUAGGGAAUCUUCCGCAAUGGACGCAAGUCUGACGGAGCAACGCCGCGUGAGUGAAGAAGGUUUUCGGAUCGUAAAACUCUGUUGUUAGAGAAGAACAAGCGCUAGAGUAACUGUUAGCGCCUUGACGGUAUCUAACCAGAAAGCCACGGCUAACUACGUG
This 498-nucleotide ribosomal RNA is filed under the name uncultured bacterium. RNAcentral describes it as "partial 16S ribosomal RNA". It matches the Rfam family "Bacterial small subunit ribosomal RNA", at positions 28 to 507 of the family's 1533-position model. The record is from RNAcentral.